Molecule: ribosomal RNA, 253 nt
Filed under: uncultured bacterium
Lineage: Bacteria
Description: partial 16S ribosomal RNA
Rfam family: Archaeal small subunit ribosomal RNA
Source: RNAcentral
UACCAGCACCCCGAGUGGUCGGGACGUUUAUUGGGCCUAAAGCAUCCGUAGCCGGUUCUGCAAGUCUUCCGUUAAAUCCACCUGCUUAACAGAUGGGCUGCGGAAGAUACUAUAGAGCUGGGAGGCGGGAGAGGCAAGCGGUACUCGAUGGGUAGGGGUAAAAUCCGUUGAUCCAUUGAAGACCACCAGUGGCGAAGGCGGCUUGCCAGAACGCGCUCGACGGUGAGGGAUGAAAGCUGGGGGAGCAAACCGG